Molecule: ribosomal RNA, 687 nt
Filed under: Mesocapromys melanurus (black-tailed hutia)
Lineage: Eukaryota; Metazoa; Chordata; Mammalia; Rodentia; Capromyidae
Description: partial 12S ribosomal RNA
Rfam family: Bacterial small subunit ribosomal RNA
Source: RNAcentral
CCCCACGGGAUACAGCAGUAAUUAAAAUUAAGCAAUAAACGAAAGUUUGACUAAGUUAUGCAACAUUACAUAGGGUUGGUAAAUUUCGUGCCAGCCACCGCGGUCAUACGAUUAACCCUAAUUAAUAAAACCCGGCGUAAAGAGUGUUAAAAUUAUAAAAACAAUAAGAUUAAAUUUUAUCUAAGUCGUAAAAAACAACAGAUAAAAAUAAAACCAUAAACGAAAGUAAUCUUAAUAAACCUGAAUACACUAAAGCUAAGACCCAAACUGGGAUUAGAUACCCCACUAUGCUUAGCCAUAAACACAGAUAUUUAAUAACAAAAAUUUUCGCCAGAGUACUACUAGCAACAGCUUAAAACUCAAAGGACUUGGCGGUGCUUUAAACCCACCUAGAGGAGCCUGUUCUAUAAUCGAUAAACCCCGAUAUACCUCACCACUUCUUGCUAAUCCAGUCUAUAUACCGCCAUCUCCAGCAAACCCCAACAGGGAUUAAAAGUAAGCACAAUUAUGCUCAUAAAAACGUUAGGUCAAGGUGUAACUAAUGAAGUGGAAAGCAAUGGGCUACAUUUUCUUCUCCCAAGAAAAUAAUAACAGUAAUCUUUAUGAAACUAAUGAUUUAAGGAGGAUUUAGUAGUAAAUUAAGAAUAGAGAGCUUAAUUGAAUUAGGCAAUAAAGCACGCACACACC